Molecule: ribosomal RNA, 588 nt
Filed under: Cellulomonas sp. CH04
Lineage: Bacteria; Bacillati; Actinomycetota; Actinomycetes; Micrococcales; Cellulomonadaceae
Description: bacterial SSU rRNA
Rfam family: Bacterial small subunit ribosomal RNA
Source: RNAcentral
AGGUCACUGGGCCGCAACUGACGCUGAGGAGCGAAAGCAUGGGGAGCGAACAGGAUUAGAUACCCUGGUAGUCCAUGCCGUAAACGUUGGGCACUAGGUGUGGGGCUCAUUCCACGAGCUCUGUGCCGCAGCAAACGCAUUAAGUGCCCCGCCUGGGGAGUACGGCCGCAAGGCUAAAACUCAAAGAAAUUGACGGGGGCCCGCACAAGCGGCGGAGCAUGCGGAUUAAUUCGAUGCAACGCGAAGAACCUUACCAAGGCUUGACAUACACCGGAAAAGUGCAGAGAUGUGCUCCCCGUAAGGUCGGUGUACAGGUGGUGCAUGGUUGUCGUCAGCUCGUGUCGUGAGAUGUUGGGUUAAGUCCCGCAACGAGCGCAACCCUCGUCCCAUGUUGCCAGCGGGUUAUGCCGGGGACUCAUGGGAGACUGCCGGGGUCAACUCGGAGGAAGGUGGGGAUGACGUCAAAUCAUCAUGCCCCUUAUGUCUUGGGCUUCACGCAUGCUACAAUGGCCGGUACAAAGGGCUGCGAUACCGCGAGGUGGAGCGAAUCCCAAAAAGCCGUCUCAGUUCGGAUUGGGGUCUGCAACU